GAUGAACGCUGGCGGCGUGCCUAAUACAUGCAAGUCGAGCGAACGGACGAGAAGCUUGCUUCUCUGAUGUUAGCGGCGGACGGGUGAGUAACACGUGGAUAACCUACCUAUAAGACUGGGAUAACUUCGGGAAACCGUAGCUAAUACCGGAUAAUAUUUUGAACCGCAUGGUUCAAAAGUGAAAGACGGUCUUGCUGUCACUUAUAGAUGGAUCCGCGCUGCAUUAGCUAGUUGGUAAGGUAACGGCUUACCAAGGCAACGAUGCAUAGCCGACCUGAGAGGGUGGUCGGCCACCCUGGAACUGGGACACGGUCCAGGAUCCUACGGGAGGCAGCAGUAGGGAAUCUUUCGCAAUGGGCGAAAGCCUUACGGAGCAACGCCGCGUGAGUGAUGAAAGUCUUCGGAUCGUAAAACUCUGUUAUUAGGGAAGAACAUAUGUGUAAGUAACUGUGCACAUCUUGACGGUACCUAAUCAGAAAGCCACGGCUAACUACGUG
Molecule: ribosomal RNA, 497 nt
Filed under: uncultured bacterium
Lineage: Bacteria
Description: partial 16S ribosomal RNA
Rfam family: Bacterial small subunit ribosomal RNA
Source: RNAcentral